GAUCCUGGCUCAGGAUGAACGUUAGCGGCAGGCUUAACACAUGCAAGUCGAGGGGCAGCAUAAUAGAUAGCAAUAUCUAUGGUGGCGACCGGCGCACGGGUGCGUAACGCGUAUGCAACCUACCUUUAACAGGGGGAUAACACUGAGAAAUUGGUACUAAUACCCCAUAAUAUCAUAGAAGGCAUCUUUUAUGGUUGAAAAUUCCGAUGGUUAGAGAUGGGCAUGCGUUGUAUUAG
Molecule: ribosomal RNA, 236 nt
Filed under: uncultured bacterium
Lineage: Bacteria
Description: partial 16S ribosomal RNA
Rfam family: Bacterial small subunit ribosomal RNA
Source: RNAcentral